AGAGAAGCCACCUCCUGGUCAAUAAAUACCGGGGCUGUCUGACUAGGGUCUGCAGCUGCCUGAAGGAGCAACCUCCACAGCUCUCCCUUGGUGAGUGAGAAUGCCGCCCUAGCUGGAGCUCUCUUUGGGUGCAUGGCACAAUGUCCCUCUUUCCUAUUCCCAAGCCCUUCCACCCCUUUUCCUUUUUCCCCCAAUUCUAUUAAUCUCUUCCUGAGCUUGUCACUCCUGGCAUGAGAGGGACAGGGGUGGAAACAUUUACUCCAGUCACCACACAUCCAUUCCAUAUCCCCAACUACCAAAGAAGAGAGAUAACAGGCCACAGAGAAAAGGAGCAGAAACUCAGGUGCUCCAAAUACCCUACUCUGCCACUUGACUUAUGGAGAAUUCCCCUGACCAUCCAACCAUCUUCCCAUCUAUUGGCCUGAAGUCUAUUCCCCUCUUAAUCUUCCACUUCUAGAACUUCCCAAAGGAAGGAGGGAUGGGCCUGGCUAACUAAGAGGGCCCUCAGAACUGGGGAGGGAGCCUGUGCUCCAGAGCUCUGGGGGAGGACUGGCGCAGAGGGAAAGGCUUUGGAAAAUAAUAAGCUGCCCUGAGAUGCAGUGUCAGACUUUUGAGUGCUCUCCACUGUCGUACAGAGCAGUGCUGCCAUGGCUAGCUCUAGAUUAGGCCUUCUGCUGCUGCUCCUACUGCUGCUGACUGUCCACCCUGGACCCUCGAGGGCUCAGCACUGGUCCUAUGGCUGGUACCCCGGAGGAAAACGAGCCUCCAGCUCACUCCAGGACCUCCCAAGUGCUUUUAGGUCCUCAGGUUGGUGAUAGGUCUUCCCAGCUUGAGUGGGAAGAAGACAAUGCUGGUUCCUGGGGUUAGGGAGGUGGGGGCAGGUGCCUUUGUUCCCUUCUGAGGAAGGGUCUUAUGCCCUGCAGCUGGCAACCCAACCCAGGCUGCCGAUAGCCUACCAAAUGAUGCACUGGCUCCCCCUGAGGAUCCAAUGUCUUGGAAGGGCAGGACCAUGGCCCGCUUGUCCCUCCACAGGAACCAGCACCUGGUGUAGACCCUAAUGGUGAGUGUGGUAAGAGGUCCCCUUCGGUCAAGACUAUCCAUGGGUCCCCUUUGGCCAUCCUGCCUGGGGACUGGGGAGUGUGAAAUACCACUGGGAUGCCCCUUUCCCCAGUAGAACAACGGUAUUAAAAAGGCCCAUAUAAAAGAGUGGUAGCUGUGGUGUUCCCUAGACUUCAUGACAGCCAAGUCGGUGUGUUUCAAGGUGGGCAGGCCCUCUGGCCAGAGGGAAGAGGGAAGGAGUGCACCUCACACAGAGCUCAAAGAGCCAAAUGAUCACUGACUUGGACUCGGAACAACUCAGUGACUGUAGACCUCCCCAAGACCAUAGAAGAAUACAGGUGUAGGAAAAUGAGUUAUUACUAGUUGCAAAUAGAACACAUGUAAAGUGCACCAGGGGUGCACAUUAACUAAAGGAGGAAGUGGUAAAUUCCUAGGAGGCACAGCCUUAUCGCCUAAUUUAAGUGAUGUUAGCUCGGGCUUUGACACAUCAAGCUUGCUUGGGGUGAACAGGGUCACGGGCUGGAAAUCCCCAAGCUGGGUUCUCAGGCUCCUGUAGGAGCCGGGUGCAUCCGAGCAACGUGAAAGCAGGUCAAAUGACCAGAUGGCAGGAGGGAAGGGGACCGAGCAGCCCGAGGUAUGACCACCCCUCUCCCUUCACAGAACGCAGCCCGAGCGCCCCGUCCAGCCAUCCUUCAAUAAAAGUGUGAAGUUUGCGAAGCUGUUGCCUCGAGCUCUUUCCUUCAUCCCCUCCCAAUCCCACUCCCCCAGAAACUCCCUAAUGG
This 1841-nucleotide long non-coding RNA is filed under the name Marmota monax (woodchuck). The record is from RNAcentral. Lineage: Eukaryota; Metazoa; Chordata; Mammalia; Rodentia; Sciuridae.